UACGGGGGGGGCAAGCGUUGUUCGGAAUUACUGGGCGUAAAGGGCGUGUAGGCGGCCAACUAAGUCCGACGUGAAAUCCCCAGGCUUAACCUGGGAACUGCGUCGGAUACUGGAUGGCUUGAAUCCGGGAGAGGGAUGCAGAAUUCCAGGUGUAGCGGUGAAAUGCGUAGAUAUCUGGAGGAAUACCGGUGGCGAAGGCGGCAUCCUGGACCGGCAUUGACGCUGAAGCGCGAAAGCUAGGGUAGCAAACGGG
RNAcentral lists this ribosomal RNA (253 nucleotides) under uncultured bacterium. Its description in RNAcentral is "partial 16S ribosomal RNA". It matches the Rfam family "Bacterial small subunit ribosomal RNA", at positions 524 to 776 of the family's 1533-position model. The record is from RNAcentral.